CGCCAGAGAGGGUGAGAGCCCC
Molecule: small nuclear RNA, 22 nt
Filed under: Arabidopsis thaliana (thale cress)
Lineage: Eukaryota; Viridiplantae; Streptophyta; Magnoliopsida; Brassicales; Brassicaceae
Description: snRNA_16594
Source: RNAcentral